GAGGGGAUGGCCAACCAACAAGAACUGCUAACUCUUGCACCUGAGUCUAAACCCUCAGUCCCCUUA
Molecule: transfer RNA, 66 nt
Filed under: Periparus ater (Coal Tit)
Lineage: Eukaryota; Metazoa; Chordata; Aves; Passeriformes; Paridae
Description: tRNA-Ser
Source: RNAcentral